CAGUCGCCGCGGGAAUACAGAGGGUGCGAGCGUUAAUCGGAUUUACUGGGCGUAAAGCGUGCGUAGGCGGCUUCUUAAGUCGGAUGUGAAAUCCCUGAGCUUAACUUAGGAAUUGCAUUCGAUACUGGGAAGCUAGAGUAUGGGAGAGGACGGUAGAAUUCCAGGUGUAGCGGUGAAAUGCGUAGAGAUCUGGAGGAAUACCGAUGGCGAAGGCAGCCAUCUGGCCUAAUACUGACGCUGAGGUACGAAAGCAUGGGGAGCAAACAGGAUUAGAUACCCCCGUAGUCCCUGUCUUAUACAC
Molecule: ribosomal RNA, 301 nt
Filed under: uncultured bacterium
Lineage: Bacteria
Description: partial 16S ribosomal RNA
Rfam family: Bacterial small subunit ribosomal RNA
Source: RNAcentral